UUUUCGUCAUCUUCAUGACUCGUUGGUUUGACCAUGAACUCCAAAAUUGUUUCUCCAUCUCAUCAUCUUCUUUAGAAAUUGUUUCUCCGUCUCAACAUCUUCUUCAGAAAUUGUUUCUCCGUCUCAUCAUCUUCUUCCUAUCAGUUUCAGUGUCAGUCUGAGCGCGAUCUUCUUAUAAAUGGCCUUCGCAGUUGGCGGCAAUGAGAAACUCAAAUCCGAAGCGUCAAUGGGAGUGCUCGGUCUUUUGGGAGUCAUUGGCCCCGUUGAUCGCCGUGUCUCCGUCGAAACCCUAGCCGGCUCGUCAUCGAGGCGAGUAUUUGGAUGGUACAAUUCGUAAUGGCAAUGCGUGGCGAAAGAGGAGAAACGCUCAUUUACUUGGUUUCUUUCGCCGAAUUGCUUAUGAAUGAUUUGUGUUUGCGACUUGCGAGUGACUUGGCCGAGCUUUAUCCUUAGGUUCAACAAAGGAGUGAAGUGUCAAGUAUUGCACUGCAACUGCAUGUGGUUGCCAUGACCAGGAUCGCGUGAUAGAGGGGUCAAGGUAUUCUGCAGCGGACCACGGGCUUCUUUAUCGUAUAGUUCAAUUCAGCGCUCCAACAAUUGAGAUGUAUUGCCAAUGUUUUGCGUUGGAUCAGAUAAAGAAUCUUGCAAAGCCAUUGGUCAAUAGACUGCGACUAUUCUGAUUUUCAAGUAUACUGAUCAUGCUGCUUCUAGGAAGAUGUUUGAUGAUUUGGAAACUUUA
Momordica charantia (bitter melon) is the source of this 739-nucleotide non-coding RNA. The record is from RefSeq and is a predicted model, not a curated record. NCBI's taxonomy places the organism in Eukaryota, Viridiplantae, Streptophyta, Magnoliopsida, Cucurbitales, Cucurbitaceae.